This 418-nucleotide unclassified non-coding RNA is filed under the name Hevea brasiliensis (rubber tree). Lineage: Eukaryota; Viridiplantae; Streptophyta; Magnoliopsida; Malpighiales; Euphorbiaceae. The record is from RNAcentral.
AAUAUGUCAAGAAAGAUAAAGAAAAACUUCUAGUUCUGGAAAUCAGUGAUUAUAACAUUAUUAUAAUAUCAAAUUACUUGAUUCAAAUUGACGAGGAAAAAGAACUCAAAAAAGAAUAAGAAAAGAAAGAGGGUGCAAGAAAAAACAAGAUAAUGGUAAUAAAAAAAAAAAGAAUACAAAGCAUGCGGAGAGAUUGUUCAUUAUUCACGAGUCUAGGCCCUCCUCCUCAUGAUCAACAAGAAAGCUCGCAUGUGAAAGCUCCUUUAUCCACUCAAACGUUCGACGACUUGACAUUGCUUGCUUUCCCUGCUGUUUUAGCUUCUGCUGCUGCUGCUUUUCCACCACUUUGUUCUUAUACUUUAUCUUUAAUUCUUGUGGCAUAUCCUCUGCUGAGUCUUUUUCUUUGCUUUUGUCGUUA